CCUACGGGUGGCAGCAGUGGGGAAUAUUGGGCAAUGGGCGCAAGCCUGACCCAGCAACGCCGCGUGAAGGAAGAAGGCUUUCGGGUUGUAAACUUCUUUUCAGAGGGAAGAGAAGAAGACGGUACCUCUUGAAUAAGCUACGGCUAACUACGUGCCAGCAGCCGCGGUAAUACGUAGGUGGCAAGCGUUGUCCGGAUUUACUGGGUGUAAUGGGCGUGCAGCCGGGCUGACAAGUCAGAUGUGAAAUCCCGCGGCUCAACCGCGGAACUGCAUUUGAAAUUGUCAGUCUUGAGUACCGGAGAGGUCAUCGGAAUUCCUUGUGUAGCGGUGAAAUGCGUAGAUAUAAGGAAGAACACCAGUGGCGAAGGCGACUAUCUGGCACAUAACUGACGCUGAGGAGCGAAAGCGUGGGUAGCAAACAGGAUUAGAUACCCGUGUAGUC
Molecule: ribosomal RNA, 442 nt
Filed under: uncultured bacterium
Lineage: Bacteria
Description: partial 16S ribosomal RNA
Rfam family: Bacterial small subunit ribosomal RNA
Source: RNAcentral